This 1382-nucleotide small RNA is filed under the name Pan troglodytes (chimpanzee). Its description in RNAcentral is "retained intron". The record is from RNAcentral. Lineage: Eukaryota; Metazoa; Chordata; Mammalia; Primates; Hominidae.
GAGACGGCGGCGGCGCCCGUAGGAUGCAGGGAUCGCUCCCCCGGGGCCGCUGAGCCUGCGCCCAGUACCCCGAGCCCCGCGCCGAGCCGAGUCCGCGCCAAGCAGCAGCCGCCCACCCCGGGGCCGGGCCGGGGGACCAGCAGCUUCCCCACAGGCAACGUGAGGAGAGCCUGUGCCCAGAAGCAGGAUGAGAAGAUGGCAAACUUCCUAUUACCUCGGGGCACCAGCAGCUUCCGCAGGUUCACACGGGAGUCCCUGGCAGCCAUCGAGAAGCGCAUGGCGGAGAAGCAAGCCCGCGGCUCAACCACCUUGCAGGAGAGCCGAGAGGGGCUGCCCGAGGAAGAGGCUCCCCGGCCCCAGCUGGACCUGCAGGCCUCCAAAAAGCUGCCAGAUCUCUAUGGCAAUCCACCCCGAGAGCUCAUCGGAGAGCCCCUGGAGGACCUGGACCCCUUCUAUAGCAACCAAAAGACUUUCAUCGUACUGAAUAAAGGCAAGACCAUCUUCCGGUUCAGUGCCACCAACGCCUUGUAUGUCCUCAGUCCCUUCCACCCCAUCCGGAGAGCGGCUGUGAAGAUUCUGGUUCACUCGCUCUUCAACAUGCUCAUCAUGUGCACCAUCCUCACCAACUGCGUGUUCAUGGCCCAGCACGACCCUCCACCCUGGACCAAGUAUGUCGAGUACACCUUCACCGCCAUUUACACCUUUGAGUCUCUGGUCAAGAUUCUGGCUCGAGGCUUCUGCCUGCACGCGUUCACUUUCCUUCGGGACCCAUGGAACUGGCUGGACUUUAGUGUGAUUAUCAUGGCUGCUUCUGUCUUGGGAACUCUGUUUUUUCCAAUGAGUAUUCAGGCCACUUCCACCUCGUGACUUCAAGGACUUCUGAGCCAGGCACAAGCUGAUCAACAGAUCACAGAAGAUGUGAACCAAAACUAGGACCAGAAAUGCACUUGCUUCCUGUAUCACCUGACCUGAGCCUCCUGGAAAACAGGCUUCCCUCUUCACUCUGAUGUGUCCCCAGCCCCAGACCCCACAUGUGGUUUCAUGUCAUGGGUCCCAGUGGUGUGGCGAGAGUGGCAGAGUGGUUGCCUUCUAGCACCAGUUAUCCUUAGCACCAUCACCAAGAGAGCCACCGGGAAGCUUGCUGUGUGGACAUCCUUACGGCACUCAAGCCGAAGUCCUAUGUUAGGAGGGUUGAAAUCCAGAAGAAAACCUGAGGGAGGCCCUGGGCUAUCCACAGCACUGCCCCCACCCCCGUGGGAGGGGGCCAAGGGAGAGGGCUGGUCGGGGAGGGCAGGCGGCGGUUCUGCUUUGUAAUUCCCAAUAACUGUGGUUUGAUUCUGCAGGUAUGUAUCAGAAAAUAUAAAACUAGGCAAUUUGUCGGC